GGGUUGUGAGGUUAAGCGACUAAGCGUACACGGUGGAUGCCCUGGCAGUCAGAGGCGAUGAAGGACGUGCUAAUCUGCGAUAAGCGUCGGUAAGGUGAUAUGAACCGUUAUAACCGGCGAUUUCCGAAUGGGGAAACCCAGUGUGAUUCGUCACACUAUCAUUAACUGAAUCCAUAGGUUAAUGAGGCGAACCGGGGGAACUGAAACAUCUAAGUACCCCGAGGAAAAGAAAUCAACCGAGAUUCCCCCAGUAGCGGCGAGCGAACGGGGAGCAGCCCAGAGCCUGAAUCAGUGUGUGUGUUAGUGGAAGCGUCUGGAAAGGCGCGCGAUACAGGGUGACAGCCCCGUACACAAAAAUGCAUAUACUGUGAGCUCGAUGAGUAGGGCGGGACACGUGGUAUCCUGUCUGAAUAUGGGGGGACCAUCCUCCAAGGCUAAAUACUCCUGACUGACCGAUAGUGAACCAGUACCGUGAGGGAAAGGCGAAAA
This 489-nucleotide ribosomal RNA is filed under the name Escherichia coli. Its description in RNAcentral is "partial 23S ribosomal RNA". It matches the Rfam family "Bacterial large subunit ribosomal RNA", at positions 1 to 520 of the family's 2925-position model. Lineage: Bacteria; Pseudomonadati; Pseudomonadota; Gammaproteobacteria; Enterobacterales; Enterobacteriaceae. The record is from RNAcentral.